CAAAAACACAGGUCUCUGCAAAGUCGUCCAAGACGACGUAUAGGGACUGACGCCUGCCCGGUGCCGGAAGGUUAAGAGGAGAGGUGCAAGCCUUGAAUUGAAGCCCCGGUAAACGGCGGCCAUAACUAUAACGGUCCUAAGGUAGCGAAGUCCCUUGUCGGGUAAAUUCCGACCCGCAUGAAUGGCGUAACGAUUUGGGCGCUGUCUUAAUGAUAGACUCAGUGAAAUUGUAGUAUCGGUGAAAAUGCCGGUUACCCGCGAUAGGACGGAAAGACCCUGUGCACCUUUACUGCAACUUGACAUUGAUUUUUGGUUUAGUCUGUGUAGCAUAGGCGGGAGACUUUGAUGCUAUGGCGCUAGCUGUAGCGGAGUCAUCAUUGAAAUACCGCCCUGAAUGAUUCGAAAAUCUAACUUCUAUCCGUGAUCCGGAAGAAGGACAUUGUCUGGUGGGCAGUUUGACUGGGGUGGUCGCCUCCCAAAAUGUAACGGAGGCGUUCAAAGGUUCCCUCAUGGCGAAUAGAAAUCGUCAUAUAGAGUGUAAAAGCAGAAGGGAGCUUGACUGCGAGACAUACAGGUCGAGCAGGUGCGAAAGCAGGAUUUAGUGAUCUGGUGGUACCAUAUGGAAGGGCCAUCACUAAACGGAUAAAAGGUACGCCGGNNGAGCUGGGUUCAGAACGUCGCAAGACAGUUCGGUCCUUAUCCAUCGUGGGCGUAGGGUAUUUGCGAGGAUUUGUCUCUAGUACGAGAGGACCGAGAUGAACAAACCUCUGGUGUUCCAAUUGUUUACCAAAAGCAACGUUGGGUAGCCAAGUUUGGAUGGGAUAACCGCUGAAAGCAUCUAAGUGGGAAACCCACCUCAAGAUUAGAUACCCCGUUAAUUAGAUUUAUUUGAGCUUCGGUUUGAGUAAUGAAAAUUAACAUGUAAGAUCCCUUGAAGACUACAAGGUUGAUAGGCUGGGUGUGUAAGUACAGUAAUGUAUUGAGCUAACCAGUACUAAUAGAUCGAGGGUUUU
This 1013-nucleotide ribosomal RNA is filed under the name Candidatus Babelota bacterium. Its description in RNAcentral is "bacterial LSU rRNA". It matches the Rfam family "Bacterial large subunit ribosomal RNA", at positions 1808 to 2925 of the family's 2925-position model. The record is from RNAcentral.